UUGCAAUGCAUGUUGUACCUAUUUACAUUCCACAAUAAUAAUAUUAAUUCACUUCAAACAGCUCAAUGCACUUCAUUAAAUCCAUAAUUUGAGAGUGCAAACAACAUAAAAAUGCUAAAUUAUUUGAAUCCAAUAAUAUUUCGCAUCUAAUUAGUUAUUUUAUCAAGUAGCUAUAAGCUCGAUAAUAAAUUACAUCGGACAGAUUCUCCCAACUCUUGAUCACAUGAACUUUCACAUGCUAUAUCUCUGAACAUCACAAUAUAUCACCUGAAAUGAUAAAACAAAAUGAAUAUAAUAUAAAUGACAUAUAAAGUUCAUCAAUAGUCAAGAAAAAUAGCUGCUUGACCUUUACAUAUACUGGCGGCAUAUCAAGGAAUUGCUACUACAAAAUUUAAUCAAAACCAAGUGUACAAGACAUGCAUUUCUUUUUUUGCUAACCAUUACAAUAUAACAAACCUCAAAAAGAUUUAUAGAGUUCGAAGAAAGUCAAAUACCAGUUCAAACAAAAUAUAUUGUGUUACACUUAACAAAGAGCAUUUUCUUUUGUCUUUAGCAAAUCCUAGAUCUUUGAAACACUGUAAUGCCUAUUUUUCCCAAUAAAACUCUUACGGUAACAGAUAAAUUUAUAUGGCUAUGACACUUCUGGAUAUAAAUGAGACGGAAAUUUCAUUAUUCAUGAUUCUACAAGUAAUAUCAAGUAGACAACAUCAUUGUUUAAACUCAUUUAAGUAGUUGGAUUUUUAAGUCCACACAGUUAUGUUUCAGCAUAGAGAUUACUUUAUGUAAUUUAGUGCAACGGUAGACAUAUUUUUAGCAAAUUACAACUCCUAAAUUUUCAGCUUUUUGCUCUUUUCAAAAAAUAAAUGAAACUUCAAGAAAACACCUUUCAACCCCAUGCCUAAUCAUACUUAAUUCAAAUUCCUCAUCUGCUAAUAACAUAUCAGCAAUAUAGCCCAUCUUUCAGCAUAACAAAGUAAUAAUCUAUAUAUAUAUAUAUAUAUAAGUAACUAAAUAACUUUUGAUAUUGAAAACUCUAAAGGAAAAAAAUCUCUCUUUUAAUCUAAUAUUUCAGUGCUCAUCCACAUUCAGAGGGUAUUCCAUUCUCUUCCCUAAAGAGAAGAUAAGAUAUUCAGAAAAGAAUACAAUCACAGUCUAAUAAAAUUAUCCACAACGAAAAUGAAGUUGACGAAGUUGACAGAUAGAUUGUAGACAACAUAUAUCACUUGAACCAAAUAGAGAUAUUAGUUAAAAAAACUGAACAGUUAAUGAGUUAACAAUGAAAUUAGACUAAAUAAGAGAUACUAACCUAGCUUUGUUCGAAUAAGUAUAAUUGGUACUCCGGGAACAUAAUGUCUCAAUUUAGGAAUCCGCUAAAAAAUAAUAACAAGAGCAAGAAAUAAGGUAUUCCUUCAGAGAAAUUAUAAAAUAUCACCAACCAUAGAAACGUUUCAUUUUUCUCUUUAACAGACAACCUUUACCCGUUCAUUUCUAGUAAACAUACGAAAUCCUAAAAUGCCGGAGUAGAGUACUAGUAUUUUUAGUAUAUUCACCAGUCGUCUUCACCAAAUAACUAAAGUGAAAACUAAAACAAGCCAAGGUUUGCAUGAACUUACUUCAAGUAACAAGUAUUGGUAUUACAACUAGCGUACACAUUUCUCCGCUGUAUUAUAAAAAAACAAGUAAAAGUACUAUAAAGAAACUUGAAAUUAAGAAGGAAGUCUACCUUUUUUUGGAGACAUUUUUGUAAUUGUGCUUGCUAGCGAGAAAUCUUUCUGUCUGAAAUUCUAGAUACN
Molecule: long non-coding RNA, 1793 nt
Filed under: Nicotiana tabacum (common tobacco)
Lineage: Eukaryota; Viridiplantae; Streptophyta; Magnoliopsida; Solanales; Solanaceae
Description: long non-coding RNA (NTAB_LNC000759)
Source: RNAcentral